RNAcentral lists this ribosomal RNA (824 nucleotides) under uncultured bacterium. Its description in RNAcentral is "bacterial SSU rRNA". It matches the Rfam family "Bacterial small subunit ribosomal RNA", at positions 66 to 887 of the family's 1533-position model. The record is from RNAcentral.
GGCAGCAUAGAGUAGCAAUACUUUGAUGGCGGCCGGCGCACGGGUGAGUAACACGUAUGCAACCUACCUACAUCAGGGGAAUAACCCGGAGAAANNNNGACUAAUACCGCAUAAUACAGGGAUGCCGCAUGGCAAUAUUUGUUAAAGAUUUAUCGGAUGUAGAUGGGCAUGCGUUCCAUUAGCUAGUUGGUAAGGUAACGGCUUACCAAGGCAACGAUGGAUAGGGGAACUGAGAGGUUUGUCCCCCACACUGGAACUGAGACACGGACCAGACUCCUACGGGAGGCAGCAGUGAGGAAUAUUGGUCAAUGGACGAGAGUCUGAACCAGCCAAAUCGCGUGAAGGAAGACUGCCCUACGGGUUGUAAACUUCUUUUGUACAGGAAUAAAAGACAUUACGUGUAAUGUAUUGCAUGUACUGUACGAAUAAGCAUCGGCUAACUCCGUGCCAGCAGCCGCGGUAAUACGGAGGAUGCGAGCGUUAUCCGGAUUUAUUGGGUUUAAAGGGUGCGCAGGCGGGAUUUUAAGUCAGCGGUGAAAUUUUCAGGCUCAACCUGAACACUGCCGUUGAAACUGGGAUUCUUGAGUAUGGAUGAAGUAGGCGGAAUUCGUUGUGUAGCGGUGACAUGCUUAGAUAUAACGAGGAACUCCGAUUGCGUAGGCAGCUUACUAAGCCAUAACUGACGCUCAAGCACGAAAGCGUGGGGAUCAAACAGGAUUAGAUACCCUGGUAGUCCACGCCGUANACGAUGAUUACUAGUUGUUUGCGAUAUACCGUAAGUGACUAAGCGAAAGCGAUAAGUAAUCCACCUGGGGAGUACGCCG